UCCGGCAUGGUCUAGUGGCUAGGAUACCUGGCUCUCACCCAGGAGGCCCGGGUUCCGAUUCCCGGUGUCGGAA
Non-coding RNA from Dermacentor silvarum, 73 nucleotides. Lineage: Eukaryota; Metazoa; Arthropoda; Arachnida; Ixodida; Ixodidae. The record is from the annotation of a RefSeq genome assembly.